This 470-nucleotide long non-coding RNA is filed under the name Rattus norvegicus (Norway rat). RNAcentral's name for it is "long non-coding RNA NONRATT019832". Lineage: Eukaryota; Metazoa; Chordata; Mammalia; Rodentia; Muridae. The record is from RNAcentral.
AGAUUAAGGACUGCAGGUGCCAUGCAUCCUUUACAGCGUGUCUUCCGAGCACAGAGGCUAUCAGCACCAUUGACCUCCAUGUGCUGGGUGUUGCUUAGGACCUUCAGGGCACAUAACAGCACUUCCUGUCCUGAUCCAGAGGGGAAGAGCUCAGAAGGAGUUCAGAAGGAUUUCAGCUCCAGGCUAGCCACUGGACCGACUUUUCAGCAUUUUUUAAGAAGUGCUUCAGUUCCUCAAGAGAAACCAUCUUCUCCAGAAGUGGAGGACCCACCUCCCUAUCUCUCAGGGGAUGAACUUCUAGGAAGGCAGAGAAAGGGUUGGCUUUAUUUUCCCCCCCUUUGGCUUCCUUCUUUGCUCCAUUGCGGCAUCUGUGAUCUGAUUGCUUUUGCUGUUGUCUUAUUAUGUUCUUGGCUUUAGGGAGUUAAUAGAGUAGGUAGAUUGCCUACCAAGUAGUGUUAUUCUAAAGAAAC